Molecule: small nuclear RNA, 119 nt
Filed under: Ooceraea biroi (clonal raider ant)
Lineage: Eukaryota; Metazoa; Arthropoda; Insecta; Hymenoptera; Formicidae
Description: U5 spliceosomal RNA
Rfam family: U5 spliceosomal RNA
About the family: U5 RNA is a component of both types of known spliceosome. The precise function of this molecule is unknown, though it is known that the 5' loop is required for splice site selection and p220 binding, and that both the 3' stem-loop and the Sm site are important for Sm protein binding and cap methylation.
Source: Rfam by way of RNAcentral
CAACUCUGGUUUCUCUUCAAUUCACGUAUAAAUCUUUCGCCUUUUACUAAAGAUUUCCGUGGAGAGGAACAAGUGAUGAGUAUAUACUAAUUUUUUGUGUACCCAACGCAAGUUGGGUC